Molecule: ribosomal RNA, 454 nt
Filed under: uncultured Bacteroides sp.
Lineage: Bacteria; Pseudomonadati; Bacteroidota; Bacteroidia; Bacteroidales; Bacteroidaceae
Description: partial 16S ribosomal RNA
Rfam family: Bacterial small subunit ribosomal RNA
Source: RNAcentral
ACGGGAGGCAGCAGUGAGGAAUAUUGGUCAAUGGGCGAGAGCCUGAACCAGCCAAGUAGCGUGAAGGAUGACUGCCCUAUGGGUUGUAAACUUCUUUUAUUCGGGAAUAAAGUGUGGCACGUGUGCCAUUUUGUAUGUACCGAAAGAAUAAGCAUCGGCUAAUUCCGUGCCAGCAGCCGCGGUAAUACGGAAGAUGCGAGCGUUAUCCGGAUUUAUUGGGUUUAAAGGGAGCGUAGGCGGAGAGUUAAGUCAGCCGUGAAAUCCAGUCGCUCAACGACUGAACUGCGGUUGAUACUGGCUUUCUUGAGUGCACAUAAGGAAGGUGGAAUUUGUGGUGUAGCGGUGAAAUGCUUAGAUAUCACGAAGAACUCCGAUUGCGAAGGCAGCCUUCUGGGGUGCAACUGACGCUGAGGCUCGAAAGUGCGGGUAUCAAACAGGAUUAGAUACCCUGGUA